GAUGAACGCUGGCGGCGUGCCUAAUACAUGCAAGUCGAGCGAACGGACGAGAAGCUUGCUUCUCUGAUGUUAGCGGCGGACGGGUGAGUAACACGUGGAUAACCUACCUAUAAGACUGGGAUAACUUCGGGAAACCGGAGCUAAUACCGGAUAAUAUUUUGAACCGCAUGGUUCAAAAGUGAAAGACGGUCUUGCUGUCACUUAUAGAUGGAUCCGCGCUGCAUUAGCUAGUUGGUAAGGUAACGGCUUACCAAGGCAACGAUGCAUAGCCGACCUGAGAGGGUGAUCGGCCACACUGGAACUGAGACACGGUCCAGACGCCUACGGGAGGCAGCAGUAGGGAAUCUGCCGCAAUGGGCGAAAGCCUGACGGAGCAACGCCGCGUGAGUGAUGAAGGUCUUCGGAUCGUAAAACUCUGUUAUUAGGUAAGAACAUAUGUGUAAGUAACUGUGCACAUCUUGACGGUACCUAAUCAGAAAGCCACGGCUAACUACGUG
RNAcentral lists this ribosomal RNA (497 nucleotides) under uncultured bacterium. Its description in RNAcentral is "partial 16S ribosomal RNA". It matches the Rfam family "Bacterial small subunit ribosomal RNA", at positions 28 to 507 of the family's 1533-position model. The record is from RNAcentral.